CCGCCCGUAGGAUCAUUCGCAAUGGGCGAAAGCCUGACGGUGCGACGCCGCGUGGAGGAUGACGGCCUUCGGGUUGUAAACUCCUGUCAUCAGAGAGUAAGGCUUCUGCGAGUAACUGCGCAGGAGAUUGAUAGUAUCUGAAGAGGAAGGGACGGCUAACUUCGUGCCAGCAGCCGCGGUAAUACGAAGGUCCCGAGCGUUGUUCGGAUUUACUGGGCGUAAAGCGUCUGUAGGCGGCGCGGCAAGUCAG
This 250-nucleotide ribosomal RNA is filed under the name uncultured bacterium. RNAcentral's name for it is "partial 16S ribosomal RNA". It matches the Rfam family "Bacterial small subunit ribosomal RNA", at positions 349 to 591 of the family's 1533-position model. The record is from RNAcentral.